This 706-nucleotide long non-coding RNA is filed under the name Lytechinus variegatus (green sea urchin). Its description in RNAcentral is "uncharacterized LOC121422528". Lineage: Eukaryota; Metazoa; Echinodermata; Echinoidea; Temnopleuroida; Toxopneustidae. The record is from RNAcentral.
UCACAGAGAUACGAUCUUACGUAUACGUAAGCUCCCGAAGGGAGCUAGAGAGGUAACUCUUUUCGCGCGUUCUUUUCUCCCAUAGGUUUUGUACACAGCCAACAUGGCUGCCGGCGGACAAUUUGAAGGUUGAUUUUGGAGGGUCAAUGUUUAAUUCAUGAAAUGACGUCAAAUUACGCAAAAUACACUUCCAUGAUUGGCUAAGACGCUAAUGUUUUAUUCAUAUCUUAUGAAUUAAACACGUUUUUCCUUCCCACAAUUCCCCACGAGAUCUGUGCGAAGUGUUGUUCUUUUGGAUUGUGCGAAUUUCCAGUUUCUACAACGAAAUAGCUCGACUAAUCAUCUGUUUAUAGAAUUGAUGUUCGAAAUCGUGAUUUUUGAGUGAACUUCAUUGGAGCAGAAAAUCUUGGAGGGAACAUCAAUAAUAAUCUACUGACAUUCCAUGAGAAUAAAAAUCCAAUAGGACCAAGAUUUUAGCAGUUCACACCCAGUCAGAGGUACAAAAUUGAGAGCCAUGCAGAUCAGCAAGUGUGGGUUUCACUCUAAUGAGGAACAGGAUAUCUGAAUUGGAAAAUUCCAAGGUUUCCCACUGCCCAAGAUGUUUAAGUACUGGUAUCACAACAAGUACCAAGAUGGAAUAUAUAUGAAGGCCAAGCUAAUAAGUAGUUACUUCAAAUUAAUUUGAAUAGAUAUAUCAACAAAGCAC